UACGUAGGGUGCGAGCGUUAAUCGGAAUUACUGGGCGUAAAGCGUGCGCAGGCGGCGGCUCAAGUCAGGUGUGAAAUCCCCGGGCUUAACCUGGGAAUUGCAUUUGGGACUGCAAGGCUCGAGUGCGGCAGAGGAGACUGGAAUUCCUGGUGUAGCAGUGAAAUGCGUAGAUAUCAGGAGGAACACCGAUGGCGAAGGCAGGUCUCUGGGCUGACACUGACGCUCAUGCACGAAAGCGUGGGGAGCAAACAGG
This 253-nucleotide ribosomal RNA is filed under the name uncultured bacterium. RNAcentral describes it as "partial 16S ribosomal RNA". It matches the Rfam family "Bacterial small subunit ribosomal RNA", at positions 524 to 776 of the family's 1533-position model. The record is from RNAcentral.